Molecule: ribosomal RNA, 448 nt
Filed under: uncultured bacterium
Lineage: Bacteria
Description: bacterial SSU rRNA
Rfam family: Bacterial small subunit ribosomal RNA
Source: RNAcentral
UCCAGACUCCUACGGGAGGCAGCAGUGGGGGAUAUUGCACAAUGGGGGGAACCCUGAUGCAGCGACGCCGCGUGGGUGAAGGAGCGUUUCGGCGCGUAAAGCCCUAUCGGCAGGGAAGAAGGAGGACGGUACCUGACUAAGAAGCCCCGGCUAACUACGUGCCAGCAGCCGCGGUAAUACGUAGGGGGCAAGCGUUAUCCGGAUUUACUGGGUGUAAAGGGGGCGCAGACGGCAGCGCAAGCCAGGAGUGAAAGCCCGGGGCCCAACCCCGGGACUGCUCUUGGAACUGCGCGGCUGGAGUGCAGGAGGGGCAGGCGGAAUUCCUGGUGUAGCGGUGAAAUGCGUAGAUAUCAGGAGGAACACCGGUGGCGAAGGCGGCCUGCUGGACUGCGACUGACGUUGAGGCCCGAAAGCGUGGGGAGCAAACAGGAUUAGAUACCCCAGUAAG